Molecule: long non-coding RNA, 758 nt
Filed under: Lotus japonicus
Lineage: Eukaryota; Viridiplantae; Streptophyta; Magnoliopsida; Fabales; Fabaceae
Description: long non-coding RNA (LJAP_LNC000459)
Source: RNAcentral
UUUUAGAAAAGAGAAUCAAAUUGAUAAAAAGAUAGACUUGGAAACAUGCUCUUCCAAGUGAGCUUUAGGUACAAGAAAGCAACAUAAACCAAAAGAAGAAGAAAAAAAACAUUCUAAUACAAUAAGAGAUACUACUGCAGUAGAGAGAAACUAGAAACAAAGACUAGGAAAAGCAGCAGCAAACUAAGUUAGAAGACUACUACAGAUAUCUAAAGUCUAAAACUAUCCGAUAAAAAACUUUGAGCAAGGCAGGCCACGCAAAGCAAGCAAUCUCCACUCAAAUCCUUCUACCUCAAUCACGUAUCAUGGCGCACUUGAAGUAAAGGUGACAGCCUCUCUACUGAUAUUCAUUUCACUGUGAGGGAAUGCAGCGUACCCAUAAAUUGAAACAAGACUCAGCGUACCAAUCAAUUGAAACAAGACUCAAAUACCAGAUCAAGUUCUUCUGAGAAGCAAUUUUAUUGGUAAAAAGCCCAGAUAGAAGUAGUUCUUGUCACUCCUGACUUUGCAAAAUAAUCAGCCUUGGUGUUAGCUUGACACCAGAAUACUGAACUUCAACCAUUAACAAGUCUAUCCGAGCCAAUUCUUGUAGCAGCUUCCAUGGUCUGUUGUUUUUCGACAUCACCCACCCUUGGUCAUAGUUCUGGGACGAUUUUCAUAUUUAUCCCUAUUUACUAUAAAAUGUUGUAAACCUUAUUGGAGUCUAUAUAUAUAAUAAACACUAAACUCAAUUGCACUUUUAGUCCUUCUAAUUUAGC